RNAcentral lists this long non-coding RNA (3141 nucleotides) under Elaeis guineensis (African oil palm). RNAcentral describes it as "long non-coding RNA (EGUI_LNC001485)". Lineage: Eukaryota; Viridiplantae; Streptophyta; Magnoliopsida; Arecales; Arecaceae. The record is from RNAcentral.
ACUAAAGGAUUGGCUGGGGUCGUCCUCAAUUUAAGCAUCAAAAGACGAAGAGAUGGGACUGAGCCUUUUUCUAAUUAGAACAAUAACUAUACGAUCUUUUAUACAUUAUUAUUCCGGCACCAGUUCACGUUUCAUGUCCUUUGACCUUCGGGGACGCAUCGCGGUCACCUUCUACACCAAGCAGGACCGGUGCCAUCCAAACCAGUCAGGUCUUAAUUAUCCGUUUGAUUGGGAAGCUUGAAUACAACUUGGACUUUGCAUAUAUUAUUAUAAUUUAAUCAAAAGUAGAAUCAAUCGUUCUGUUUCUCUUUACCAAAAAAUAAAAUCCUGAUGUUCUUUUUUUUUUUUUUUUUUUCUGUUUUUUUCUUUCAGAUUUGGAUGCCCGAUUCAUGUAUCAAGCACUAAAGUUUCCCUAGGAACCAGCAUUAUGUCCAAUGAGAAGUUCUUAGAUCUCAUGCAGGAAAAAGAAAAAAAGAAAAAACCUGUAGCAAAUAUUUAAUAAUUCAAUAUGUCAAGAGAGAGAAACUCUGGGAGUUUCAGAGAAAGAAAUCUCCCAUUGUUCUUCCACCGAUUCUCACUGACCCCCUUCCACCGAUUCUCUGGCCAUUCCAACCAUCCUUCUCACCAAUGCUCUUACCUACAGUCUUCUCUGGACAAACCCUCUCAUUUCGGAACGUUGGGCUCGAGACCGAGAACCUCUGGCAACGACAUAGGGCGACAUGGAAGAUCUUCGGAUCAGGCGAUGAAGAACUCUGGCCAAACUGGGAAACGCACUCAUCAUGGUCCUCCACAACAUUGUAACACAUUUUCCUCCAGUCUCCCCCAGUUCUCCCUUUACAAACCCACUAUCGCUAGACAGUAGACAUAUACGCCUGGUGCAAUAUGCGAGACCAGCGGUGGGGAAGCCGAAUGCUUGUCAUGCGGAGGGACUAUCUGCCACCCGUCGAUGCACUAAGAGCUAUUCAUUGAGCCAUCAGCAACUGGCUAACGAGGUUAAAAUUCCCAUCUCCCACCUGGCGGCCCGCACUCCAGCAGCGGGUGCAAACGCCAUACCAUUGGGUUGUGUCACCCCUCGGACGGUGGUCUUCUCGACUGGGGAAUGGGGAUCAGCAACGAAAGGCUCCCCUGUCAUCCCCGACCUACAAAUAUGAGAACUACGGGCGUUUUUCAGACUUUUCCGCUACCUCCAGUUCCGGUACGCCGUCUACAGCGCCGAGUGGAAGUCACGUCGCUCCUGUCUAUGAAUCACUCCACAAUUAUCCUCGGCAGCAGAAAACACUCGACACCUCUUUUCACACAGUGCACUCCACCAAAUCGGAGCGGCAACGGCGCCGGCAGUCUCCAGCAAUCUCCGUACAUUCUCUCGCCGCUAAGCCCGGCCACAACCAGCACUACAAGAGAAGCCACGAUUUUCUGCAGAUUUUUUCUCCAAAAAUUAUCUGCAGAUUUUCUUACGGAUAUGCUUGUAGAUUGAGUUUAGCUAAACAUUUCCUGCGAAAACCAAAUUCGCAAAAGAAAAUACAGAUAAUUAUCGAUGAAUUUUUAUUCCUUAAAAAAAUCUGCAGAAAAUAUUCCCGCCAUACGGUGGAAAUUUUUUUUAUUUUGACAGAUAAAGCAGUACCUGCUGUUUUUCCUAGAGAUUUUCUACCCACAAGAAAAAUCGCAGAGAAAAUCUACAAAAAAUAUUUUCUGCAGAUUUUUCUGUGAAUAUAUGCUGUGGUUUACUUGGGGAUUUAUUUUCUGGAGAUUUACCUGCGAAUUAUUUUUCCUGAGAAUUUACCUGUAGAUAUGUUUCUUAGAGAUUUACCUGGGAAUUUUUUUUUUCUGAAAUUUACAUACGAAUUUUGCUGUAAAUUUUAUUUACUGCAGAAUUUACUAUAGAUUUACUUGAAAAUUUUUUAAAUUUAUUUUCUUUUAUUAUACUUUUAUGAAAUUUUUUGAAGAUUUAAUAAAGAAUUCACUCUUACACUUAUUUAAAUAUUAUCUUAAUAAUACUUUUGUUCAAAAUUUGAUAUAUAUUUUUUUAAAAAUUUAAUAAUAUAGUAAAUUAUAAAAUAUUAUCAAAACUCAUAAAAUAAUAUCUGAAGUCAAGAAAUAGUAAAUAAAAUUAUAAAAUAAUACCUAUUGAUUUAGACGGCCGCAACCUAGUCCGUACACUCCAACCACUUCACUUCGAUGCCCAUUUUCCAUUGGCGUCACCUCCUCCAUCUGAUGGAAAUUGGAGGAUAUGGGCUUCUUCUAUGAGCAGUAAAAAACUUGCACAAAAAUUUAUAUUUUUUAAAUAAAUAUUUAUUAGAUAAUAUUUAGAUAAAAAAUAAUUUAUUUAUAUUUUUUAUGUAUUAAAAAAUAGUGUCAAAAAUUAUUACUCAUAUUUUUAUUAUUAUGUAAACAUUAAUUUAUAAUAAUAUUAUGUUCUAUUAUAAUAAUAUAUUAUAUAGUAUUUAUUAUAUAUUAUAUUUAUAACAUAAUAUUAUAUAUUAUAUUAUUAUUAAUAAAAUAAAAAUAUUAUUUUUUUAAAUAUUUUUAAUUUUAUAAAAAAUAUUAUUUAUGAAAAAAUAGCUUACCCAGCUAGAAAAGCAUAAUAAUAUGUGUAAGUCAACAAAUGAAAAAUUAUUAUAUAUUUUUUAUAAUAUUAAUCAACUAAAGAAUUGGCUAGGGUUGUCCUGAAUUAACGCAUCAAAAGAUAGAUAGAUGGGACUAAGAGGGUGUUUGGUUAGAGGGAGUAGCGGUCUGGAAUCGAAAUCGGAAUGAGUGACUUUCAUUUUAACCAUCUGAUUGGAAAGAGUCCCAUUCCAAUUCUGAUUUCGAGAUAGAAUGGGAAUGGAUCAAUCUAUAUAGAACCCAAUCCCUACUCUCCUCUAUGGAUUCAAUUUUUCAUUCUAAUUCUGAUUCCGAUUUCGAUUCUUGUUACGAACCAAACGCUUCAGAGAAUUUGAUCAUUUUUAUUCUAAUUUUAAAUUAUUUCGAUUCUCAUUCUCAUUCUAUUUUUUUUAAUUAAAAUAAUAACAAUACGAUCUUUUAUACAUUAUUCUGGCACCGAUUCACGUUUUAUGUUCUUUGACAUUAGGGGACGCACGGCGGUCACCUUCUACACCAAGCAGGACCGGUGCCAUCCAAACCAGUCAGGUCUUAAUUAUCCGU